GACGAACGCUGGCGGCGUGCCUAAUACAUGCAAGUUGAGCGCUGAAGGUUGGUACUUGUACCAACUGGAUGAGCAGCGAACGGGUGAGUAACGCGUGGGGAAUCUGCCUUUGAGCGGGGGACAACAUUUGGAAACGAAUGCUAAUACCGCAUAAAAACUUUAAACACAAGUUUUAAGUUUGAAAGAUGCAAUUGCAUCACUCAAAGAUGAUCCCGCGUUGUAUUAGCUAGUUGGUGAGGUAAAGGCUCACCAAGGCGAUGAUACAUAGCCGACCUGAGAGGGUGAUCGGCCACAUUGGGACUGAGACACGGCCCAAACUCCUACGGGAGGCAGCAGUAGGGAAUCUUCGGCAAUGGACGAAAGUCUGACCGAGCAACGCCGCGUGAGUGAAGAAGGUUGUCGGAUCGUAAAGCUCUGUUGGUAGAGAAGAACGUUGGUGAGAGUGGAAAGCUCAUCAAGUGACGGUAACUACCCAGAAAGGGACGGCUAACUACGUG
This 497-nucleotide ribosomal RNA is filed under the name uncultured bacterium. RNAcentral's name for it is "partial 16S ribosomal RNA". It matches the Rfam family "Bacterial small subunit ribosomal RNA", at positions 28 to 507 of the family's 1533-position model. The record is from RNAcentral.